This 869-nucleotide ribosomal RNA is filed under the name uncultured bacterium. RNAcentral's name for it is "bacterial SSU rRNA". It matches the Rfam family "Bacterial small subunit ribosomal RNA", at positions 28 to 896 of the family's 1533-position model. The record is from RNAcentral.
GAUGAACGCUGGCGGCGUGCCUAACACAUGCAAGUCGAGCGAGAAAUACAUUAUGAAGUUUUCGGAUGAAUUAAAGUAUGGACAGCGGCGGACGGGUGAGUAACGCGUAGGCAACCUGCCCUUUGCAGAGGGAUAGCCUCGGGAAACCGGGAUUAAAACCUCAUAACACAAGAAAGAGACAUCUCUUUUUUGUCAAAGAUUUAUCGGCAAAGGAUGGGCCUGCGUCUGAUUAGUUAGUUGGUGAGGUAACGGCUCACCAAGGCGACGAUCAGUAGCCGACCUGAGAGGGUAAUCGGCCACAUUGGAACUGAGACACGGUCCAAACUCCUACGGGAGGCAGCAGUGGGGAAUAUUGCACAAUGGGCGAAAGCCUGAUGCAGCAACGCCGCGUGAGCGAGGAAGGCCUUUGGGUCGUAAAGCUCUGUCGAUGGGGAAGAAACAAAUGACGGUACCCAUUGAGAAAGCCCCGGCUAACUACGUGCCAGCAGCCGCGGUAAUACGUAGGGGGCGAGCGUUAUCCGGAAUUAUUGGGCGUAAAGAGUGCGUAGGUGGCUAAUUAAGCGAUUGGUGAAAGGCUAUGGCUCAACCAUAGUAAGCCUGUCGAACUGAAUGGCUUGAGUGCAGGAGAGGAAAGCGGAAUUCCUAGUGUAGCGGUGAAAUGCGUAGAUAUUAGGAGGAACACCAGUGGCGAAGGCGGCUUUCUGGACUGUAACUGACACUGAGGCACGAAAGCGUGGGUAGCAAACAGGAUUAGAUACCCUGGUAGUCCACGCCGUAAACGAUGAUUACUAGGUGUGGGGGGACUGACCCCUUCCGUGCCGCAGUUAACACAAUAAGUAAUCCACCUGGGGAGUACGACCGCAAGGUUG